RNA transcript from Tripterygium wilfordii, 7004 nucleotides. It is a transcript of the gene named callose synthase 10-like, with no coding region annotated. The record is from RefSeq and is a predicted model, not a curated record. The transcript is spliced from 11 exons. Lineage: Eukaryota; Viridiplantae; Streptophyta; Magnoliopsida; Celastrales; Celastraceae.
UCCUAAUCUUACGGGGGAAGGCUCCCGAAUCCUAAAUCCUUAUUCCUCUUUUUUUUUGAGGCGGUUCGAAAUCCUGAUCUUAAGAGGUAAACUAUUUCCCUGUGAAAUAAUACGCGUAUAAUCUCGGUGGCUGUUUUCCGAGUGGGGUUUUUGGAGAUCGAACUCGAUCAAAUUGGUUCUCUGGCCAUGCCAUGGCUAGGGUUUAUGGGAGGGCCUGGGGCGAGCCACCUUGAAGAGGGAGCAAUUCCGAAUGCAAGCUUGUAUUGGGACCAAGCUAUAUCUCCAACAAAGGCCAGGAACGUACCUUGGACCAGUGUGUUUGGAAACCAUGACCACGCACCCUUUGAGCGGCCUGGAGUGGUUCUCAAGCACUAGAAUCCCUCCGCUUCUGUGUCCUGUUGCCAAUUCAUCAUACCCAGGCGAGGGCAAAUCUAUGAUUGAUUAUUAUUGCGCUGGUCUCGUUGAUGUUUAUAUUUUUGUUUAUUUUUGGCCGUUUAAUCUAGUUUACGUUUACAGAUUCAGAUUUACGACUUAUGAGUGAAUAGUGUCUCUUUGGUUAUGUGAUAUCCAAUUGCAAAAUUUGGGCACUAUUUUUGGUAGAAGAUACAUGAACAUGGAAUAGGUAUUCUGUCUUCAUAUGUGUUAAUUUGAUCAUGGUCGGGCUAUUGAAAUAUGUGUUAUUAUUAUACCCAAGUCUCUAAUGGGUCUUGCCCACCAUGUUGGGAGGGCUAUUUGAAAAGGGUAGAUUUGCAGAUAUGCUUGACCCAGUAGUGGUGGAUUGGCCUGUUAAAGAGGUUCUAGAAUUUGCUAAAUUAGCCCUAAAGUGUGCCGAUCAAAAAAAGGACAGGCCUGAUCUUGGGACAGUUAUUGUGCCAGUGCUCAACUGACUUAGAGAUCUAGGAAGAAAUGCUGAGAAACGCAGCAGUAGUGUCUAUACCAAAGCUCUGGACAUGGAAAUAGUGGCCAUAGUCGCAGUCACGGGCAAAUUAGCAGUUCUUACAGUGGCAGGCCCUUGCCACGCUCCUCAUUGUCAAGUGGAUAACAGGUUUAUGGCUUACCAAGUUACCAUAGACGUUAGAGUUGAUGCAUUUCCAUUUUUUGUCCAAUACAAAUCAGGAAGUGACAAGUAAGACUUACAAUCCUGGAAUGGAACGUAAAUCUGAUCCAGAAAAUGGCAGCGCAUGAUGAUCAAGAUCCAAAUCGGUGACGCCAAGAACUAAUACUGGAAAGCUAUUUGUAGAAAAAUAUGCGAUGGAAAUGGAUGAAACUGACUUCUAUCGUAAGGAAAAACUUGUUAAACAGGUAAAGAUGUAUUUCUUCAGCUCCUUUCAGUGCUUGCAAAAAGGUGUUUCUUUUGGAUAUUGUAUUUUGAAUAUCAUGGCCUUGCCAUUAUUGUGCUUUCAGCAUAACACAUAGCAACUUCAAUGAUGCCGUUUGAAUAGUUCAGAUAUAUUGCACAAUGACUUCCUUUCCUAUUCUGCAUCACCUCUUUUGUAACACUUGUAUGCUCCACAAUUUAACUUUGUCAUUUUGGUGCUUAGGUCCUAUUAAGUAUUAAGUAUAGUACACUAGCAGCCAAUUCAGGAACAAUAUAAUAAUAUAUUCAAGGUCCUCAAGCAAUGACAGUAUUGCCCUUAGCACGGUCAUCCAAGUGUACUUUUAUGUUUUUUCCGGGUUCCCAUGAACAGCUUAAUGUUGUCCUAGAGCUGGAAAAUCUGGUGUCCUUAAUUUGAAUUAUGAACGAGUUCAGGAAAAUAUGGCUCAUAUGGGGGAUGAUUUUGGAUUUGCUCAAUGGCAUAUGUUUGUACAAAUUGGAGCCUUGUUAUUGCAUAAUGAUUUUGAAGUUGGUCUUAUCAACGAUAAUUAUGAAUUCGAGAGGAACAUAUUAUGAAACUUGCAAUGGGUUGUUGCCCUUCGUAUGCCUAAGUUUAACCAUGGCCACAGUAAAUUUAUGUAAGUUUUUGAACAUUAUGCAAUAAACAAGGCUUUUGUUUGACGUGCUGUUGGGCAAUACUUCUUUACAUGUUGCUUUGCCCAAGUUUGACAUUUCUUUGCUUUUUUUGCGAUGUUUACGUGUGGAAGUCUUGGACGGUGUACUCAGUGCAAUUCUCGUUCGUGCAAGUGUACUUAUAUGCAAUUUUUGUGGGUUCCCGUGAACAGCUUAAUGUGCUUUAGCUGGAAAAUAUGGUGUCCGUAAUUUGAAUUAGAAACUAGUGCACAAAAAUAUGGUUCAAGUGGGAUGAUUUUGGAUUUGCUCAAUGGCAUAUGUUUAUACAAACAGUAGCCUCUUUAUUGCAUUAUAAUUUUCAAUUGGGUAUUAUCGACCACAGUUAUGAAUUUGAAAGGAAUAUUUAUGAACUGACAAUUGGUGGUUGCAAAGGCAUGCAUAAGUUUAAGCAUGACCAUGGUACAUUUAUGGAAGUUAUGAGCAUAUGCAAUAAAAGAGGCUUUUGUUUGUCUAGACAUGUGUCGUUGAUCGGAACUUUAGUACGUGUUCUCUUUGCUUUGCCCAAAUUUGGCAUUUCCUUCUUUGCGUUGCUUACAUGCGGAAGUCUUAGAUGGUGUAUUUGGCACAAUUCUUGGUCAUGCAGGUGUAUUUUUACACUUUUUUAUGUGGGUUCCCAUGAAUAGGUUAAUGUUGUGCUUUAGCUGGAAAUCUGGUGUUCGUAAUUUGAAUUGGGUACCAGUUUAUAAAAAUAUGGUUCAUGUGGACGAUGAUUUUGGAUUUGGUCAAUGACAUGUUUAUACAAACACUAGCCUCUUUAUUGCAUAAUGAUUCUCAAUUUGGGCUUGUCACCCAUGGAUAUGAAUUUGAAAGGAAUAUCUUACGAAACUAGCAAUGGGUUGUUACCCUUUGCAUACAGAAGUUAGCAUGACCACUGUACAUGUAUGGAAGUUUUGAACAUUAUGCAAUAAAAGAGGUUUUUGUUUGUCUAGAUGUGUCUUUGGAUAGAACUUAUGUACGUGCUCUCUUUGCUUUGUGCAAAUUAGACAUUUUUUUUUGACCUUGUUUACGUGUGGAAGUCUUGGACGGUGUAUUCGGUACAAUUCUUGGCCGUGCAAGUGUAAUUUGUUGCAUUGGGAACCAGUUUACAAAAAUAUGAUUCAUGUGAACGAUGAUUUUGGAUUUGGUCAAUGACAUGUUUAUACAAACACUAGCCUCUUUAGUGCAUAAUGGUUCUCAGUUUGGGCUUGUCACUCAUAGCUAUGAAUUUGAAAGGAAUAUCUUACGAAACUAGCAAUGGGUUGUUACCCUUUGCAUGCAUAAGUUUAAGCAUGACCAUAUAACAUGUAUGGAAGUUUUGAACAUUAUGCAAUAAAAGAGGCUUUUGUUUGUCUAAAUGUGUCUUUGUAUAGAACUUAUGUACGUGUUCUCUUUGCUUUGUGCAAAUUAGACAUUUCUUUUUUGCCUUGUUUAGAUGUGGAAGUCUUGGACGGUGUAUUCGGUACAAUUCUUGGUCGUGCAAGUGUAAUUUUUUGCAUUGGGAACCAGUUUACAAAAAUAUUAUUCAUGUGAACAAUGAUUUUGGAUUUGGCCAAUGACAUGUUUAUACAAACACUAGCCUCUUUAUUGCAUAAUGAUUCUCAAUUUGGGCUUGUUACCCAUAGCUAUGAAUUUGAAAGGAGUAUCUUAUGAAACUAACAAUGGGUUGUCCUUUGCAUGCAUAAGUUUAAGCAUGACGACAGUACAUGUAUGGAAGUUUCGAACAUUAUGCAAUAAAAGAGGCUUUUGUUUGUCUAGACAUGUGUCUUUGGGCAGGACUUAUGUACAUGUUCUCUUUGCUUUGCGCACAUUAGACAUUUCUUUUUUUGCCUUGUUUACAUGUGGAAGUCUUGGACGGCAUAUUCGGUACAAUUCUUGACGACUCUGUAGCUUCAUACACUGGGUAGUGCAUAGAGAGUUCAUAUGUUGGAAAAAUACUUUCCUGAUGCAGUUUAUGCAUGCGAAGUACAAUUAUGAUAUAACGACAAUUUAAAUGCUUCUGGAGCAUAAUCAACAAGAUACUCGCAUCAGUUUAUAUAUUAAUAUAUGUCCAAAUUGAAAGCAAUUAAUCUAUAAGCCUCUGUUUAUAAUGAGUGGUUUUGCAUAUUAUUUGGGGCAUAGCCUGAUACCAUGGAACUUAUGCUUCUCCAUUCUACAUGUUCGAAGCCCAGUUGAAAGAGUUCUGCCUGUCUCCUUAUGUACAUUUAUUUUCUGUCUUGUUCAAUUACAUUUUGUUUAUCUUCCAUCACUUUACUCUUGCAGUUUUGUUACAUAAUGUUUACUUGCAUAUUUGCAGAAAGACAAUAUAUGGAACCAAUGGUAGAAAGUUGUUCUUUCUAUAGCUAAUGCACAGUCCCAAUUCGGCGUACCUUAUUAGGCUGAUCCAGUGAAUACUAUCUAUUGGUCUGGUCCUGUGUUUGUUGUUGCAGUUAAUACAACUUUGUAGUUAAAGCUCGUGUUUCCAUUUUUCGGGGAUUUUAUUAUAUUCUUUGUUGGGAGAAAACAUAUCUUUCUUUUUUCCUUUCUAGUUAUUGUUUGUUUUAUAAUUAAUUUAUUUUCCUUGGCUGGCUGUAUUGGAAGUGAGUCCGUAGCUUGAUAACAAAUUAAAGUCUUCAGAUCAAACUUCAAAUGUUAAAAUAGCUAGUUAAGUUGGAUUGAUCGAGAAAUUUCAUAUGUCAUUGUUUCGUUCACCCUUUAGUCUUGAUAAUGAACCUUAAGUUGCUAUAAUUUCUUGUUGUAGGCUGCAGCAUGUCCCAACUCCCUUGUAAUACCCCUUGCUACUUGGACUUAAAUUGACCUUGCAGAUCAUUGAGCUUCCACAAUAUUUUGGAUAGGUGUUUAGUUGAUCAUAUUCUUUGGUUGAAGUCAUUGAAUCUGGAGUAUCCAUUGAACUAAUUCCUAUUAACUAAUUGGCUCAUUUUUUUUAACCUUUUCUUGGUGUCAUAAAAGACAGGCUUUGGAGAAAAUGAAUAAGGAUUUUAUAAGGGCAAUUAGUGAGACAAUUGCUUACACAAAGGUUUCGUGUCUAAUGCUCACUUCGUAAAUGCAUUAUGUGAAGAAAAUUGACGAGAAAGCAAUCAAUGAAGUAUUUUUGAAGUUGCUGGACAACUGCAUCAAAUGGUGCAAGUACUUGCGAAUACAGUUUGGAAGCGAUCACUAGGGACGGAAAACUUUUUCUAGUUUCACUAUACUUCCUCAUAUGGGGUGAAGCUGCGAAUGUCUGUUUCCUUCCUGAAUGCAUUUGCUACAUGUUUCACCAUGUAAGCAGGCCAUUGGUUCACACCUUUAAAUUGGGUUUUCGUUUACUAACUAAUAAUUUGUUAUUCUGGAUGAUGAAUGCUAUUUCUUUUCUUACUAUGUUUAGCUUAGCAUAUCUUCUUCUUGUUACCAUUUAUGAUUCUAUGUGAAGAAGCCUAUUGGCUAAGUUGACUGAUUUUGAGUUCUGUUACUAUGUAAAGUGCAUGAUUUGGUUCGGAUAAUAUACAUUUUCUCUAUAACAGGACAACCCUCUCGCAAUAUUUUGGCUUCGGUUUCUCUGGUUAAAUGCAUGGAUGUUGCUGGAGUGGUCAUUGGGUUGAUUGUCACUUUUUUUCGAUGGAAAAAGAAUUGGAUGCAAUAUUGGACCAUGGUUCCCCUACGCAAAUCAUCUGUCCUAUUUAUGAGACAAUGGUAGUGCUGCUAGAAACAAUGAUGGGAAAGUUGCACGUUCGGCAUGGAGGAAUUACGAUGAUUUCAAUGAAUAUUUCUGGUCACCUACUUGCUUUAAGUUGAGCUGGCCAAUGAGGAAAAAUUCACCAUUUUUGUUGAAUCCCAAAAAGCGAAGAAGGGUGAGUCAGUCUGGUGCUUUGUUUCUUAUUUAGUCUUUCUGUGAGUUGACAGAUUGGAAAAAACACUUUUGUUGAGCAUUUAACCCUUUUUCAUCUCUAUCGAAGUUUUCACCGUCCUUGGAUCUUCUUGGGCCUCUUGACUGUAAUAUUCCAGGUCAAAUUUAUGCUCACUGAUCUUACUUUUGCAUUGAUCUUGAAAAGAAACCUUUUUCUAUUCAAAAUACAAUGUUUUCCCUCCAUUUCUUUAUGGAAUGUAGGCUUUCACGAUCACAGCUUUCAAUACCAGCCACAUCAAUUUGGACACGUCUAAAUAUGUGCUUAGUAUUGGGCCGACGUUUGCUAUCAUGAACUUUGUUGAAAGCUGUUUAGACCUCUUGCUUAUGUUUGGGGCUUACUCAACUGCGGAGGACAUGGCUAUCACAAGGCUGAUUAUUAGGUUUCCUUGUAUGGCUCAGGCUCUGUCGGCGUGACAUUUAUUUAUGUGUAUGUUCUGCAGGAAACUCUUGAGACAUGAGUUCAUUCUAUUUUCAUAUAUACAUCCUUGUUCUGGGUGUUUAUGCAGCUUUGCGCUUAGUCCUUGCUUUGUUACUCAAGUUUCCUACUUGUCAUGCUCUAUCCGAGACGUCUGAUGAUCAACCAUUCUUCCAAAUUUUAAAGUGGAUUUAUCAGGAGCGGGACUGGGGUGUCUACCCCGAGAAUCAGCCCAUCAGGCACAAUCAUUAUCAUUUUUCAUCAUGAAUUUGAAGAAUAGCAGAGUUAGAUGUGGUGGUGCCGAUUUGUAGUCGGAGAUAUUAUUCUUGCAUUGGUGGUUUAUUUUUUUUGUUUUAUCUUUAUUAUUACGUUGAAAGCUUAUCUUUUUUAUUUAAAUGUCCACUCCAAGGAGUAGAUUGCUGGGCCCAGCCCAUAAUCAGCAGGUGUCGAAAAGUGAAGCCCAUAAUAAUGCAAGUUGUCGGGUCAAUCAAGAGGCACAUUAUGAUUGGACUUUUUUAAACAACAGUACUUGUGCACAUGGGCUUGGUUGCUGGAAAUUGGAAUGGGCUUCGUAGUAGAUUGGAUCAAUAAAUUAAUGCUUUCUAAGGCGUAAGCUAUAUAGGGAAACUAACUUAAGAAUUUGAUUCAUUGGGCCUUGAAAGCCCAAAGUCUUCGUGGGCCUUUCAGUCGUUUUUCUAUCCAAUGUUGGCUAGAGAUUUCAA